This 161-nucleotide ribosomal RNA is filed under the name Calamagrostis sp. Cnj-1. RNAcentral's name for it is "5.8S ribosomal RNA". It matches the Rfam family "5.8S ribosomal RNA". Rfam says of the family: 5.8S ribosomal RNA (5.8S rRNA) is a component of the large subunit of the eukaryotic ribosome. Lineage: Eukaryota; Viridiplantae; Streptophyta; Magnoliopsida; Poales; Poaceae. RNAcentral also lists the same sequence under 1 other name. The record is from RNAcentral.
ACGACUUUCGGCAACGGAUAUCUCGGCUCUCGCAUCGAUGAAGAACGUAGCGAAAUGCGAUACCUGGUGUGAAUUGCAGAAUCCCGCGAACCAUCGAGUCUUUGAACGCAAGUUGCGCCCGAGGCCAUUCGGCCGAGGGCACGCCUGCCUGGGCGUCACGC